Molecule: long non-coding RNA, 3885 nt
Filed under: Solanum tuberosum (potato)
Lineage: Eukaryota; Viridiplantae; Streptophyta; Magnoliopsida; Solanales; Solanaceae
Description: long non-coding RNA (STUB_LNC008510)
Source: RNAcentral
GGCAAACAAAUAAAAAAAAAGAAUGUAAAGAGUUUUUGUUGUAAUUUACUUUGACAAUACAUUAAUUAAUUAAAAUAAGAAAAAAGUUCCAAAAAAGAGAAAAAAGAUAAAUACAAAUAGAGGUCAUAGAGAGGUGCCACAUCACCUUAUUUAUGUUUGCCUUUAUUAUAUGUAUAUAUAUUUGAGCUUAUUUAAGUUUUGUGUGCACUUUACGUAUCUUGUUUUUUCCCCUCUUAAUGUAGGGGAUAAACCUUAAAGUCACUAAUAGUAAACAUUGAUUUCAGGGCUAACACAAUCGAAUUGGUUGAGGAAAAGGACCUCCAGUGACCAAGCACUCCCACCUUCAAAAGUGUAGAUCGAAAGAAUCUCCAAGUUAUAUAUUGAGGAUACAACUGGAAGCAUCCUUGACUUUGUUGUUCACAGUAGCAGCUUGCCAAGUAGGAGAAUGAGGACCGUCAGAUCGAGGGCAUGAAGGCUAUAACAUAGAGUUGGAGGCCUUAUUUCUGGGACAUCCAUUAAUCGGUUUCAUUCUGACAAUCGAGAUGGUUAGCUUGGGUGCUAAUGGUUUUUUUAAUUUUAAGCCACUUGUUGUUCAGUUACUGAAAAAUAAAGAACAAUUUUUUAAUCUGAGAGCUAAAAACAACCAUUCUCACUAAAUUAACUUAAAUCUGAAUUAAGAUUCAGAUCAAAUCUUUACCAAAAUAAAAUUUCCAUUCUAAGUUGAUGAAUUUCAUUGUGCAUCUUAUUAUAUGGUUUAUUAGCUAGUGAAAUUGAAGUUUUCUUUUUUCAAAUGAUAGCAUAAUUGAAAAAAUAGGCAAAUGUCCUAAUAUGGGAAUAAUUAGAUGGGGAAAAUUGUAUGGUUGUCUACCACUUAGAGUAGAAAAGAUGAAACCUUUUUUGGCCAACAUUAAAUCUUAGCAUAAUGUACAAAAUAAUACUUAGGUAAGAAAAAAGAUAGUGAUGAAUCAUAGUUUUAAUUGAUUAUUUAUUGAUUUCUGUUACAUCUUUUGUUUGUUGGUUGGGUAGGUAGGUACAAAAGUACAGUGACAUUCACAUAGAACAGCACAUAGUUUUGAGUUGUGAUUAUUGUUGUACUGCUUUAUUUUACUCAAAUUUUCCCACAAAAAGAAAAUCACCAGUUGUUCUAUUAUUUUAUUGCUCAGCAUUUGAAAUUUAUUGACUCGACUAAUUUAACUUUGCUUGAAUAGAUCAUUUUUCCCAGGCCCUAUAUUAGGAAAUUUCAUUGGAUAUAUUGUUGUUAUUGUUGCUCGAGUAGGCCACUAAGGUAGUAAAGCGUCCCAACCAAAACGUUCUGUAUUUCUAGAAUUCAAACUCAAAAGUUUUAGUAGGCAUUUGGCCAUAAUAUUUUAGAGCUUGAUUUCAAAUCAACGUUUGUUUAUAAAAUCUGCAUAAGUUUAUAUUUUAUAUAAUAAAAAAAAACUCAUAAUUUUAAAUUUUAUAUAUAAAAAAAAACUCAUAUUCGACAUAAAGAGAAUAUCCAAACCAUUUGGGAGGAUUUUAUCAAAUAAUAGCUAAUUAGUACUAUUAUUGAUUUAUUGGACCAAUGAAUCUUUAUAAAUUUUUAUAUAUUUAAAAGUUUGUAAUAAUAUAUAAUCACAAAUAUUUAUUUAUAAAAAAACAUAAAUAUAUAUAAUUUACUAAUUCUACGCUUUAGAAUAUUUUAAGAGCAAUUUUCACAUAUAGCAAACAUUAAAAACAUAUUUGUAUAUAACAUUUAAUUUGAAUUAAUAGUUUGUUGUUUCAUACAAUUUUCCCAAACAACUUUCACAUAUAGCAAACAUAAAAAUCAUAUUUGUAUGUUAUAACUAUAGUUUGCAUAAUUGCGCUCCAUAGCAAAUUUUAUGUUUGCUAUGGAGCUUUUGAUUUGUAUAAUUCGCUACAAACAUCCUAUUUUAUACAAAUUAUUCAGUUUUGUAUAAAUUCAUUUAUACAUUGUAAUUUGUAUAAUAAGAUAUGUAUUUGUAUAAUUACAAGUGUAUAGGACGAAAAUAUAUGUAUUUGUAUUUGUAUAUACACUUUUAUCUCGCUUUAUACAAACAAAAACACAUUUUAUACUGAAAUGUAUAAAAUGACUAAUUGUAUACCGAAAAUAGCUAAUUGUAUAUCGAAUCAGAUGGCAAAAAAAUGGAAUGUUUGCUGCGAAUUACAAUUAAAAUAAACUAUGAGUAUAACAUUUAAUUUGAAUUAAUAGUUUGUUGUUUCAUACAAUUUUCCCAAACAACUUUCACAUAUAGCAAACAUAAAAAUCAUAUUUGUAUGUUAUAACUAUAGUUUGCAUAAUUGCGCUCCAUAGCAAAUUGUAUAUUAACACCUUCUUUUAGUAUUUCAAAAAUCUUAAUAUUUUCAAAUUCUAACUCUUUUUUCUACAUUUCUUUUGCGAUGCCUAUUUAAUUAAUUUUACAAUGCAAAACCACUUUUAUGCUAUGAAAAUUUAAUAUUGUAAAUGUGUUUCUCUAAUCCUACAUGUCAAUUCAUAUUUUUCCAUUAAAUCUAGUUCAAAAGGAUAUAAACUUUUACAUAGUAGAUAACAUAUAAGAAUAGUCUCGCUCUCUAGUCAAUUAAUUCAUCUAAUCUUUUGACUAGGAGAAACAUGUGUCAUAAGUAAACGAUGGCAUGUGUUUUCUAAUCACUAUAACGAGGCUGGUCCAUCUUUUAGUAGACUAAACUGACCAGGAGAAACAUGUGUCAGAAGUGAACGAUGACAUGAAUUUUCUAAUCACUACAACGAGGUUGGUCCAUCUUUUAGUAGACUAAACUCAGGUACAUAAACAUAUAAGAAUAGUCUUGUUCUUCAAGUGGAAAAUCCGCUAACUAUACGACUAAGAGAAAAUGUGUCAUGUUAGAAUUGAAUAUACGACUAAGAGAAAAUGUGUCAUGUUAGAAUUGAAUAUACGACUAAGAGAAAAUGUGUCAUGUUAGAAUUGAAUAUACGACUAAGAGAAAAUGUGUCAUGUUAGAAUUGAAUAUACGACUAAGAGAAAAUGUGUCAUGUUAGAAUUGAAUAUACAACCAAGAGAAAACAUGUCAUAUUAGAGUUGAAUAGUCAAACGUAUUCUCUAAUCACCACGACAAGGUUGGUCCCAAAUUUAGUAGACUAAAGAUUGACAAAGUUGGAACUACUUUUUUUAGUAAGCAUCUGGAAUUGGAUAAUAGAAUGAAUCAAUUCUUUGGAAAAGACUACUACUUUUUUAGUUGGAAAUCAAGCACAAUAACAAUAUAACCAGUGUAGUCCUACAAAAUAGUAUCGGGGGAAAGUAAAGUAUAAGCACACCUUACUCCUACCUAAGAGUCAGAGGUACAGAGACUGUUUCCAAUAGACCUCGACUUUAGAAAAAACAGUCCAAAAAGAAGUAACAAAAGUGAAAACAUAACAAAGCAUACUGAGCAGUAAAACAAAAUAAUACGAUAGUCAAAACACAAGAAUCAAUGGAAAGCAGCAGAAAUCGAAGGAGAAGAAAAGUUCAAAUAAAUUAAAUUACCAAGAUAAAAAAAAAUUAGGGAUUACAAAUGUUCAAAAUUCAACUUUGUAGCUAGUGGAAACAACUAUUAAAUUUGCUCCCAAACAUACAUAUCACUCUAAUGAACUCUUGCUUUGCUUCAUUAUUUGGAGAAAAAAGGUCUCCAAAAAUCACACAUCAAAGGAAAAAAUAACUAAAAUUGCUCUACAUGAGAACUUGCACUAUCUGUUGUAUGCCAUAUUUGAGGAAAAAACCUUCAUAUCUCUGCCUGGAAAUCUUACCUUCCCACUUCAGAAUUCUCAGGUUUCUCUAUAUACUCAAAUAUUGGCACGAAUCAAUCGACGUUUGGCGUGCUUUGUUCUUCAUCACCUUCAACAACAUAUUGUUUGACAGCAACAAAGAUUUU